GUUCCAGUUGAUCGCAUGGUCUUCUGGGAAAGCUUUCGCGGUAUGGGAUGGGGUCGCGUCCUAUCAGCUUGACGGCGGGGUAACGGCCCACCGUGGCUUCGACGGGUAGCCGGCCUGAGAGGGCGACCGGCCACAUUGGGACUGAGAUACGGCCCAGACUCCUACGGGAGGCAGCAGUGGGGAAUAUUGCACAAUGGGCGCAAGCCUGAUGCAGCGACGCCGCGUGAGGGAUGGAGGCCUUCGGGUUGUAAACCUCUUUUAUCGGGGAGCAAGCGAGAGUGAGUUUACCCGUUGAAUAAGCACCGGCUAACUACGUGCCAGCAGCCGCGGUAAUACGUAGGGUGCAAGCGUUAUCCGGAAUUAUUGGGCGUAAAGGGCUCGUAGGCGGUUCGUCGCGUCCGGUGUGAAAGUCCAUCGCUUAACGGUGGAUCCGCGCCGGGUACGGGCGGGCUUGAGUGCGGUAGGGGAGACUGGAAUUCCCGGUGUAACGGUGGAAUGUGUAGAUAUCGGGAAGAACACCAAUGGCGAAGGCAGGUCUCUGGGCCGUUACUGACGCUGAGGAGCGAAAGCGUGGGGAGCGAACAGGAUUAGAUACCCUGGUAGUCCACGCCGUAAACGGUGGAUGCUGGAUGUGGGGCCCGUUCCACGGGUUCCGUGUCGGAGCUAACGCGUUAAGCAUCCCGCCUGGGGAGUACGGCCGCAAGGCUAAAACUCAAAGAAAUUGACGGGGGCCCGCACAAGCGGCGGAGCAUGCGGAUUAAUUCGAUGCAACGCGAAGAACCUUACCUGGGCUUGACAUGUUCCCGACGGUCGUAGAGAUACGGCUUCCCUUCGGGGCGGGUUCACAGGUGGUGCAUGGUCGUCGUCAGCUCGUGUCGUGAGAUGUUGGGUUAAGUCCCGCAACGAGCGCAACCCUCGCCCCGUGUUGCCAGCGGAUUAUGCCGGGAACUCACGGGGGACCGCCGGGGUUAACUCGGAGGAAGGUGGGGAUGACGUCAGAUCAUCAUGCCCCUUACGUCCAGGGCUUCACGCAUGCUACAAUGGCCGGUACAACGGGAUGCGACGCGGCGACGCGGAGCGGAUCCCUGAAAACCGGUCUCAGUUCGGAUCGCAGUCUGCAACUCGACUGCGUGAAGGCGGA
RNAcentral lists this ribosomal RNA (1141 nucleotides) under Bifidobacterium longum. RNAcentral describes it as "bacterial SSU rRNA". It matches the Rfam family "Bacterial small subunit ribosomal RNA", at positions 173 to 1330 of the family's 1533-position model. The record is from RNAcentral. Lineage: Bacteria; Bacillati; Actinomycetota; Actinomycetes; Bifidobacteriales; Bifidobacteriaceae.